Diceros bicornis minor is the source of this 247-nucleotide long non-coding RNA. RefSeq lists it as uncharacterized. The record is from RefSeq and is a predicted model, not a curated record. The transcript is spliced from 3 exons. NCBI's taxonomy places the organism in Eukaryota, Metazoa, Chordata, Mammalia, Perissodactyla, Rhinocerotidae.
AUCAGACCACAGACGGUUAUCCUGUUGUACCAAAGCACUACUAUGUGCCAGCUGAUUUUGUAGAAUCUGAAAAAGAAACCCUGGUAGUCAGAAGCGAUUUCCUAGCAACUGUGGCCGUGAUGGAAAACUGUUUCUUUGGGGACAAGCCCUUUAUAUCAUCGCAAAACUCCUGGCUGAUGAAUUAAUCAGUCCUAAAGACAUUGAUCCUGUUCAGCGCUAUAUCCCACUACAGAAUCAACGUAACGUG